CCUCUGCAGGCUGAAGCGGUUGCACUUCUCUUGGCUGCACAAGUAGCCAAAUGUCUCAGCAUCAGCCAGCCGACCUUCCUCACAGACUGUCUCUCUUUGGCUUCAUUUGCGGCUAGUAGGAAGAUUACUGAAACUGCUACCCCUUGGACUAUCAGGAAAGUUUUAGCUGAUUUCUUCUGCUACUCUUCAGACCUUCAACCUAGAGUGUUCCAUAUUUCCAGAGAAAUUAAUGAAAUUGCUCAUAAUGUCGCUCAUCAGGUUCUUACAUCAAAUGUAGAAUCUGACAUAUGUUGUUUUGCUUCAGCUCAUAGGAACAUUACUUGCCCUGUAGUUUCUCUCCUCUCUAAUUUCCAGUUUGAGGGCUUUGUAAUCCAUGUUGUACGUUACUAUUGA
Molecule: ribosomal RNA, 393 nt
Filed under: Triticum aestivum (bread wheat)
Lineage: Eukaryota; Viridiplantae; Streptophyta; Magnoliopsida; Poales; Poaceae
Description: partial small subunit ribosomal RNA
Source: RNAcentral